Molecule: ribosomal RNA, 478 nt
Filed under: uncultured bacterium
Lineage: Bacteria
Description: partial 16S ribosomal RNA
Rfam family: Bacterial small subunit ribosomal RNA
Source: RNAcentral
GAUGAACGCUGGCGGCGUGCUUAACACAUGCAAGUCGAACGGGAAACCUUUUAAUGAAGCUUCGGCAGAUUUAGCUGGUUUCUAGUGGCGGACGGGUGAGUAACGCGUGGGUAACCUGCCUUAUACAGGGGGAUAACAGUCAGAAAUGACUGCUAAUACCGCAUAAGCGCACAGGACCGCAUGGUCCGGUGGGAAAAACUCCGGUGGUAUAAGAUGGACCCGCGUUGGAUUAGCUUGUUGGUGGGGUAACGGCUCACCAAGGCGACGAUCCAUAGCCGGCCUGGGAGGGUGAACGGCCACAUUGGGACUGAGACACGGCCCAGACUCCUACGGGAGGCAGCAGUGGGGAAUAUUGCACAAUGGGGGAAAACCUGAUGCAGCGACGCCGCGUGAAGGAAGAAGUAUCUCGGUAUGUAAACUUCUAUCAGCAGGGAAGAUAGUGACGGUACCUGACGAAGAAGCCCCGGCUAACUACGUG